GCACACUUGUCAUCUUUAUAUCUCCACCUGUGCACCUUUUGUAGAUCUGGAUAACUUUCUGAAUGCCUGGCAUUCAGGUUUGAGGAUUGACUUUUUGUCUUUCCUUACAUUUCCAGGCCUAUGUUUUCUUCAUAUACACCAUUUAUGUUAUAGAAUGUAAUGAAAAGGCCUUUGUGCCUACAAAAGUUAUACAACUUUCAGCAACGGAUCUCUUGGCUCUCGCAUCGAUGAAGAACGCAGCGAAAUGCGAUAAGUAAUGUGAAUUGCAGAAUUCAGUGAAUCAUCGAAUCUUUGAACGCACCUUGCGCUCCUUGGUAUUCCGAGGAGCAUGCCUGUUUGAGUGUCAUUAAUAUAUCAACCUCCUCAAGUUUUUACUUGUCGAGUGUUUGGAUGUGGGGGUUUCUUUUGCUGGUCUCUUUUGAGGUCGGCUCCCCUAAAAUGCAUUAGCGGAACAAUUUGUUGACCCGUUCAUUGGUGUGAUAAUAUCUACGCUUUUGACGUGAAACAGGUUCAGCUUCUAACAGUCCAUUGACUUGGACAAUUUUUCAUUAAUGUGACCUCAAAUCAGGUAGGACUACCCGCUGAACUUAAG
This 592-nucleotide ribosomal RNA is filed under the name uncultured Cortinarius. RNAcentral describes it as "eukaryotic LSU rRNA". The stretch from base 193 to 346 matches the Rfam family "5.8S ribosomal RNA". The record is from RNAcentral. Lineage: Eukaryota; Fungi; Basidiomycota; Agaricomycetes; Agaricales; Cortinariaceae.